Anthonomus grandis grandis is the source of this 1462-nucleotide long non-coding RNA. RefSeq lists it as uncharacterized. The record is from RefSeq and is a predicted model, not a curated record. Lineage: Eukaryota; Metazoa; Arthropoda; Insecta; Coleoptera; Curculionidae. The transcript is spliced from 3 exons.
GGGUCACACGGUCUUGAAAAUGUAAUUUUUUUUUUGCAAAUAUUGCCCCCGGAUGACACUGGUUCUAUUAAAAAUUGUAAAAUAUAUUUUUUUUAAAUUUUCCCAUAACUUGGGUCGUAACUUUGGUUCUAGUACUCAGAUUGCUUUCAUUUUUGUUUUAAAAGUUUCCCUGGAACAUUCCUAAGCUUCCGGUGAAAAAAUCAAGCAAAUCCGUGCACUAGAACCUUUUUUAUCCAGACUUUUCCGAGGCAUGUCAUGUAUGCAAGAAGAAAUUCAUAAUCCUUGGAUAACUUGGGUCAUAACUUAGGUUCUAGUGCUCAGAUUGCUUUGAUUUUUGUCUUAAAAGUUUCUUUGGAACAUUCUUAAGCUUCCAGUGAAAAAAUCAAGCAAAUCCAUGCACUAAAACCUUUUUUAUCCAGACUUUUCCGAGGCAUGUCAUGUAUGCAAGAAAUUUAUAACCCUUGGAUAACUUGGGUCAUAACUUAGGAUCUAGUGCUCAGAUUUCUUUGAUUUUUGUCUUGAAAGUUUCCCUGGAACAUUCCUAAGCUUCCAGUGAAAAAAUCAAGCAAAUCCAUGCACUAGAACCUUUUUUAUCCAGACUUUUCCGAGGCAUGUCAUGUAUGCAAGAAAUUUAUAACCCUUGGAUAACUUGGGUCAUAACUUAGGUUCCGGUACUCAGAUUGCUUUGAUUUUUGUCUUAAAAGUUUCCUUGGAACAUUCCUAAGCUUCCAGUGCAAAAAUCAAGGAAAUUGAUGCACUAGAACCUUUUUUAUCCAGACUUUUCCGAGGCAUGUCAUGUAUAUGAGAAGAAAUUAGUAACCCUUGGAUAACUUGGGUCAUAACUUAGGUUCCAGUACUCAGAUUGCUCUCAUUUUUGUUUUAAAAGUUUCCCUGGAACAUUCCUAAGGUUCCAGUCAAAAAAUCAAGCAAAUCCGUGUACUAGAACGUUUUUUAUCCAGACUUUCCCAAGGCAUGUCAUGUAUAUGAGAAGAAAUUAGUAACUCUUGGAUAACUUGGGUCAUAACUUAGGUUCCAGUACUUAGAUUGCUUUCAUUUUUGUUUUAAAAGUUUCCCUCGAACAUUCCUAAGCUUCCAGUGAAAAAAUCAAGCAAAUCCAUGCACUAGAACCUUUUUUAUCCAGACUUUUCAAUGCAAGUCAUGUAUGCAAGAAGAAAUUUAUAACCCUUGGAUAACUUGGGUCAUAACUUAGGUUCUAGUGCUCAGAUUGCUUUCAUUUUUGUUUUAAAAGUUUCCCUGGAACAUUCCUAAGCUUCCAGUAAAAGAAUCAAGCAAAUCCGUGCACUAGAACCUUUUUUAUCCAGACUUUUCUAUGGCAUGUCAUGUAUGCAAGAAGAAAUUUACAACGCUUAGAUAACUUGGGACAUAACUUGGGUUCCAGUACUCAGAUUUCUUUCAUUUUUGUCUUAAAAGUUUCCCUGGAACAUUCCUAAGCUUCCAGUGA